RNAcentral lists this long non-coding RNA (363 nucleotides) under Carica papaya (papaya). Its description in RNAcentral is "long non-coding RNA (CPAP_LNC001830)". The record is from RNAcentral. Lineage: Eukaryota; Viridiplantae; Streptophyta; Magnoliopsida; Brassicales; Caricaceae.
CUUUUAAUCUGGGUCGUUCAUCGCGUUUGAUCUCGACCAUCCGAUCGCGUUUAAAGAGGAAAUGAAUAUGAAUCAUUCAUCACGAUUUUAUCUGGACUAUAUGAUAAUGUUUAAAGAGGGAACAAAUCUAGACCGUUCAUCACGUUUAAUCGGGACCGUUCGAUCGUGUCUGAGGAGAAAACGGAUCUGGAUCGUCCACGCGUACGAGAACAAAUCUGGAUUGUCCGAUCAUGGGCAUGCAGAUUGCCAGUGUGGCCUCCCGCAUGGUACUGAGUCAGCGUGACUUGCCAUGCGGCAUGCUCCGGUUCGUCGGGGCUACUGACUGGGCAGUUCUACGUGGUACAUUUAUCUUAAAUUGCGUUU